CGCCUCUUGCCACAAUAUAAGAGGUCCAGCCUGCCCAGUGACUCUGUUCAACGGCCGCGGUAUCCUAACCGUGCGAAGGUAGCGUAAUCACUUGUUCUUUAAAUGUGGACUAGUAUGAAUGGCAUCACGAAGGUUAUACUGUCUCCUUUUUUUAAUCAAUGAAACUAAUCUUCCCGUGAAGAAGCGGGAAUAGAAAUAUAAGACGAGAAGACCCUAUGGAGCUUUAAACAACACAGCAUUUGUCUAAAAAUUAAUCUAUUUCAGAAAACCAACUCUUCAAACAAUAUGACUGCAAGUUUUCGGUUGGGGUGACCACGGAGCAUAAUGUAACCUCCAUGUUGAAAGAAUUUUUUCUAAAUUAAGAAUUACCAAUCAAAAUAUCAACAUAUUGACAUCCAUUGACCCAAUAUACUUGACCAACGAUCCAAGUUACCCUAGGGAUAACAGCGCAAUCCACUUCAAAAGCUCCUAUCGACAAGUGGGUUUACGACCUCGAUGUUGGAUCAGGGUAUCCCAGUGGUGCAGCCGCUACUAAAGGU
RNAcentral lists this ribosomal RNA (539 nucleotides) under Rhinella cf. leptoscelis VG-2014. RNAcentral describes it as "partial 16S ribosomal RNA". It matches the Rfam family "Bacterial large subunit ribosomal RNA", at positions 1817 to 2572 of the family's 2925-position model. The record is from RNAcentral. Lineage: Eukaryota; Metazoa; Chordata; Amphibia; Anura; Bufonidae.